GGCCGCGGGAAUUCGAUUCAGGCCUAACACAUGCAAGUCGAGCGGGAUUUAGUAGUUAGCUUGCUAACUACUGAUGAGAGCGGCGUACGGGUGCGGAACACGUGUGCAACCUGCCUUUAUCUGGGAGAUAGCCUUUCGAAAGGAAGAUUAAUACCCCAUAGUAUACUGACUGGCAUCAGUUGAUAUUGAAAACUCCGGUGGAUAAAGAUGGGCACGCGCAAGAUUAGAUAGUUGGUGAGGUAACGGCUCACCAAGUCGAUGAUCUUUAGGGGGCCUGAGAGGGUGAUCCCCCACACUGGGACUGAGACACGGACCAGACUCCUACGGGAGGCAGCAGUGAGGAAUAUUGGACAAUGGGUUAGCGCCUGAUAAAGCCAUCCCGCGUGAAGGAUUAAGGACCUAUGGUUUAAAGGUUCUUUUGUACAGGGAUAAACCUACUCUCGUGAGAGUA
RNAcentral lists this ribosomal RNA (451 nucleotides) under uncultured bacterium. RNAcentral describes it as "bacterial SSU rRNA". It matches the Rfam family "Bacterial small subunit ribosomal RNA", at positions 39 to 467 of the family's 1533-position model. The record is from RNAcentral.